RNAcentral lists this ribosomal RNA (492 nucleotides) under uncultured bacterium. RNAcentral's name for it is "partial 16S ribosomal RNA". It matches the Rfam family "Bacterial small subunit ribosomal RNA", at positions 29 to 507 of the family's 1533-position model. The record is from RNAcentral.
AGUGAACGCUGGCGGUAGGCCUAACACAUGCAAGUCGAACGGCAGCACCGUAAGAGCUUGCUCUUACGGGUGUCGAGUGGCGGACGGGUGCGUAAUACACCGGAAUCUACUUUUUCGUGGGGGCUAAUGUAGGGAAACUUACGCUAAUACCGCAUACGACCUACGGGUGUAAGCAGGGGAUCUUCGGACCUUGCGCUAUUGAAUGAGCCGAUGUCGGAUUAGCUAGUUGGCGGGGUAAAGGCCCAACACGGCGACGAUCCGUAGCUGGUCUGAGAGGAUGGACAGACAGACGGGAAGUGAGAAACGGUAGAGACUCCGACGGGAGGAAGCAGUGGGGAAUAUUAGGCGAUGGGGGCAAGGCUGAUACAGCAAUACCGGGGGAGUGAAGAAGGAGUUAGGGUUGUAGAGCGAUUUUGUUGGGAAAGAAAAGAAGCAGGUUAAUACCCCGCUGUAAUGACGGUACCGAAAGAAUAAGCACCGGCUAACUUCGUG